Non-coding RNA from Cinara cedri, 457 nucleotides. The record is from the annotation of a GenBank genome assembly. Lineage: Eukaryota; Metazoa; Arthropoda; Insecta; Hemiptera; Aphididae.
AGGGGAUUAAACAUAGAUUGCGACGGUCAGUGUUUACAAGAUCAUUAAAACUAAAUUCUUAAAAUUAAUUAUCUUUUUACAUAUGGUAGUUCCUGAAGCGGGCCUACAGGUACGAAUAACGGUUGACCGGGACAUUUGAAUUGGGCACGUUGAUACUGCUGCGGGCGUCGUUGUGUAGGCUGUACGCUGGUGUUGGUUAUACGCUGUUAUUGAGUGGUACAUGGUUAGACUAUCGACCGUCAAAAGUUGAGUGCAUUCAGAAAUGUUUUCUAAAGUCGCCGGAUGUUGCCAGACUCUUUCAGAAAGUAUUUGGGUCGUUUUGGAGGAUUCACCAACACGCACCUUUUACGUUCAGACACCAGAUUAGUCGCCGGAUAGUUCGCUUCUUUUAACAUACGCCUGUAGACCGUAAAACGACAGUGGUAUGUAUGAUUCAAACCACUUCUUACUUUGCGCC